UCAGCUUCAGAAUUCAAUUUUCCUACUCAAUUUUCUGCUGUUCAAAUGAUGCAGUCAUUUCGUUGCUUGGAUAUAGAUGGUAGGCUCCAGCUCUGAAAGCAACAAAGUUGGUGAAAAUCUCACAGGAAGCCAAGCUCUUCUUUGUCUUUUGUCAAGGCCCUUUGUAGUUUCAAAAUGAUCAAAAGCGAGUGCAGGUGAAAAGCAAACACUGCGGUAUCAUGCUUGAGGAGAGUGACAUCAUCUAUGUGGCAGUGCUUUCCGGGUUCCUUACAGAUGGAGGUUGAAGAAUGCCUCAUCUGAUAUAAAACAAAUGGUUAAAAGUGAAACACACUUGGAUAUUCCUGCUGAUCUCAGAAAGAAACUCCAUGGGGCUAAGAAAGAAAAAUUAGAAAUAAC
Molecule: long non-coding RNA, 396 nt
Organism: Balaenoptera acutorostrata (minke whale)
Lineage: Eukaryota; Metazoa; Chordata; Mammalia; Artiodactyla; Balaenopteridae
Exons: 3
Source: RefSeq, a predicted model, not a curated record